Non-coding RNA from Rattus norvegicus (Norway rat), 2063 nucleotides. The record is from RefSeq and is a predicted model, not a curated record. Lineage: Eukaryota; Metazoa; Chordata; Mammalia; Rodentia; Muridae.
UGUAUGUAUGGGCAUGUAGCAUGUGAUAUGUGUGUGUAGAGUAUGUUUGUGUGUGGUAUGUUUGUGUAUUUGUGGCCAUGUAGUACAUGAUGUGUGUGUAUGUGUGGGUCUGUUCGUGUAGGAGGGGUGGAGGGAGGUGGGGGAGUGUUGGUGGAUAUAUGUGGACGUGAGUGGUGGUGGAUUGGGAGAAAACUAGUGUAUGUGUGUGAAAUGAAUGUGUAUAGGUGAAGGAGGUCAUGCACCUCAAAACACCUGGCCUUCUAGUGGGGCAAAGAUAGAGUUAGGGUUUUGUUUUACAUACAUACAGACAGAAAUACAGACAGACAGACAGACACACACACACACACACACAAAUACAAACAUACUACGUGUCCACACUCAUGCACUACAUCCUCCACAUCUGUUCCUUUACACGUGCACAAAUAUUCCUCUAGGUUUAUGUCCUAGACAGUGUGCUGUAUAGAGGAGGGUGGGUGUGAAGUGGACGUGUGUGAGGCAGGUAGCAUGUGGAGGUGUGUGCCUGGUGGACAUGCACAGGGAUCUGUGUGCUGCAUGGGAGUGGGUGGGGUCGGAGAGAAGAUGGAUAAAGGCCAUAAAGAUCGUGUGUGAUGAGUGGGGUAAGUACACGUGGUGGAUGCUCAGUGAAUGGAUUCUGAGCAUGUAGGACUGUGACGUAGAUUUAUGGGAUUAUAUGUGGAUGCUGACCGGACAGAGGAGUAUAUGGAAUAGAUAGGGUUAGAAUAAUAUGGGGGAUUUGAGUGUGGAUAUGUGCAAUAUUUGUGUGUAUGGACAGGCAGUGGACCUGUGUGCGAGAGGUGGGUGCAGAACCUCUGGGUGCGAUGGAAUGUGUGCCUUCAACCUUAACCCUGGGGCAGCCCGGCCUCCUGUGUAUGUCGCCUUCUAGACUGAGUGAAAACCUUGAGAUAUGAGAAGCUGUUAUCAGAUGUCUGUAAAUUGUAACAAAACGCUUACCAGUGUUCGCGGUGAUAAUACUGCCGGAGAGAUAACGUGUGUACCUACUGCCAUCUGGUGGACGACAUGGGGAUUGCAGAUGAGGUGAGACGAUAGGUUUGGGAUUUGUUAGCAAGAAUAGGUUUUGUUUUGAUUUGAUUGUUUUGAUUUAGCCCACUUCUUGGUCACCACCUUCUCAUCGUCCUAAGAGUCAGAUUCCCUCUGUUGCGGAUCUAGUGAAGGAACCAUCUUCAGCACUGGAGCUUAGUCUGGGCGAAGUUUACACAUCUGGACUCUUUCGCAGUCCUCGCACAUAAUCUUGGCCGUGUAAGUCGUAUCCUCAACAUGCACCAGUCCGUAGGUAGCUGAGUGGAUGGAGCAGCUUGGUGGCUGAGGUCACUGAGGGAGAGAGGUACGGAGCUCCUUGUACCCACUACAUAACGCCACUCCCCUCCUUACACUGUGCAGGAAUUAUUAAUUAAUUCUGAAAUCAAUUAUCCUUACUCAUAAAUCGUCUAGCAGUGACUAUGCUCCUGUCGAGAAUAGUCAUGACCUUUCUGUGAAAUUUAUGCUUGCAUAAUAACGUUUAUGUCCUCCUCUGUACUAGCACUCACAUCGGGGUAAGUCAUGGCAGUGCCUGCUUGUCUCUGCUGUCUUCAUGUUGGCUAGCUACUGCUGAAUAGCAACCACUGAAAGAAUGAAGCCUUGCCGGUGUUCAGAAGCCUCCAGCCCACCCAGGCCAGCCUCCUGUUCCCUCAGAUGUCCCUGCCCACCAGGGAACUGCAGAGUCCACUAGAGACUGCUUGCUUCUAGAUACCCUGACACACAGCUUGCUCCACUUAUCCUCCAACAGCAGAGCCUCCUGUCCUUCCACUGCCUGAGGGCAGCGGUCUAUGGGACAAAGCAGAUCAUUGUCAUGGAAAGAUCUACAAUGUUGUAUGUUCGAGGAGGGAUCAGCAUCUUCAUCGCAGUGAAAUCCAGCAUGUACCGUCCUUUAUGCAGACUUUAGAAAGUGCAUGGACAUAACUCUGCUUUCUCUAAGGCCACGGUGAGAAGAGUUUCCACAGGAUCUGUAAACAUUCAAGCCCACAGAAACCACAUAAAAUCUAAAA